Molecule: unclassified non-coding RNA, 333 nt
Filed under: soil metagenome
Description: partial contains 5.8S ribosomal RNA, internal transcribed spacer 2, and large subunit ribosomal RNA
Rfam family: 5.8S ribosomal RNA (bases 1-119)
Source: RNAcentral
GAUGAAGACGCAGCGAAAUGCGAUAAGUAAUGUGAAUUGCAGAAUUCAGUGAAUCAUCGAAUCUUUGAACGCACAUUGCGCCCGCUAGUAUUCUGGCGGGCAUGCCUGUUCGAGCGUCAUUUCAACCAUCAAGCCCUUUAGCUUGUGUUGGGGACCUGCGGCUGCCGCAGCCCCCGAAAUGCAGUGGCGGGCUCGUUGUCACACCGAGUGCAGUAAUCAUUCUUCUCUCCGGGCGUGGCGGCGGGUUCCGGCCGUAAAAUCACCAAUUUAUCAAGGUUGACCUCGGAUCAGGUAGGAAUACCCGCUGAACUUAAGCAUACAAUAAGCGGAGGA